This 1211-nucleotide long non-coding RNA is filed under the name Canis lupus familiaris (dog). RNAcentral describes it as "lncRNA (ENSCAFG00040018373.1)". Lineage: Eukaryota; Metazoa; Chordata; Mammalia; Carnivora; Canidae. The record is from RNAcentral.
AAGUACUAUAGAAGGAACUAUUACAGCUUAAAGAGAUGGAACAUCUGUGCGGAGUUCCUUCCUUUUUGCUCCAUUCCAGUCAGCAGCUUCCAUGCUUGGUUUUUGGAGCAGAGUUGCAGAGCCAAAUCAUCUGGUUUGUGUGCUGAGUCCAAAAAACACUGCUGCAUAUUUUCCCCAAGGAGCAAGCCAGGGAGAGGCAAUCUGAAAGAUCACAGUAGGUUUGAGGUGAGAACUUCCAGAACUUCCUUGAAAAUAAAGGCUGUAUGUGAUAAAAGAACUGUUCUCCAGCCAUUGCCUCUGUGUUUUCUCUCUUGUAUUAAAUGACAGUAGAGGUCAAAUGCCAUUUGCUUUUCUGCUCCUUCAGGACCUAUUUUUGGUACUAUUUCCUUCACUUUAGCCUUUGAGGUUACUGUUCUUCAGUGGAAAGAGCAAUGGGGUGAGAAUUGACAUCUUGGGGGUUAUGGGGCUCAUUUAUCAGGCUGUGCCAGCAUUGGUCCUAUUCCUGACUCUGGGCCUGUUUGUGGCCUGUGUUCUGCCUGGAUUGCUCCUCCAUUGGCUCUUGGCAUGUUGAAUUUGUAGUUUUUCACUCUUCAGCUUAUAUAGCACUUCUUCAGAGAAGCCUACCUUGACUGUCCCACCUAAUGUAACCAGCAUCCCCCCAGCCUACUCACUGUCUGGGUCAUAUUCCUCUGAUGUCUUUCAUAGCAACUCACCACUAUGUGAGAUAAUCUAGUUUAUUUACUUGUUUAAUUUUUCUCCCUCUUCUCUCCACACUAGACUGUAACCUCUGUGCAGACAGGGACCAUGUCAGCUGACCUUGUUCAGCUAUUGUAUACACCCAAUGCUUAGCCCAGGGCCUGGUACAUUCUGGGUGGUUGGGAGCUGUGUGUUCAAUAAAUGAAUGAAGAGGACAGAGGGCAAUGCAGGACCGAUAUAAUGUUCCUUUUUGGAGUGUACAGCCCCAAAACAGAUUCAGCCAAGAUUUGUUGAGCUCACUGACCUCUAUCCACAUCUGCUGAUUCAUACGGGAAUAAAUGAUAUCAUCAAACGAGACUGAACUAGCUCUUUAGUGAUUCUAAAGUUAGAUGUAAAGCUUGAAGGACUUGGAGUACAGGUAACAUUUUAUUUUCUUUCAUAGGGUAAAAGGGAUGACUUGGGCAGAGAAUGGAAAUUAACAAUUGACCACAUUCAUAAUGUUGAGAAGGAUCUGG